UUACAACAUCACCAGGCAGAUGGUUUC
RNAcentral lists this non-coding RNA (27 nucleotides) under Homo sapiens (human). The record is from RNAcentral. Lineage: Eukaryota; Metazoa; Chordata; Mammalia; Primates; Hominidae.